AGGUACUUAGUCUAAUCCAAGACAGCUAACUUCGGCUUAGUAAACCAUGAAGCAAAUUCAUGAGUACCUC
This 70-nucleotide transfer RNA is filed under the name Peltocephalus dumerilianus (big-headed amazon river turtle). RNAcentral describes it as "tRNA-Arg". The record is from RNAcentral. Lineage: Eukaryota; Metazoa; Chordata; Testudines; Podocnemididae.